RNAcentral lists this ribosomal RNA (495 nucleotides) under uncultured bacterium. RNAcentral's name for it is "partial 16S ribosomal RNA". It matches the Rfam family "Bacterial small subunit ribosomal RNA", at positions 28 to 505 of the family's 1533-position model. The record is from RNAcentral.
GAUGAACGCUGGCGGCGUGCCUAAUACAUGCAAGUCGAGCGAACGGACGAGAAGCUUGCUUCUCUGAUGUUAGCGGCGGACGGGUGAGUAACACGUGGAUAACCUACCUAUAAGACUGGGAUAAAUUCGGGAAACCGGAGCUAAUACCGGAUAAUAUUUUGAACCGCAUGGUUCAAAAGUGAAAGACGGUCUUGCUGUCACUUAUAGAUGGAUCCGCGCUGCAUUAGCUAGUUGGUAAGGUAACGGCUUACCAAGGCAACGAUGCAUAGCCGACCUGAGAGGGUGAUCGGCCACACUGGAACUGAGACACGGUCCAGACUCCUACGGGAGGCAGCAGUAGGGAAUCUUCCGCAAUGGGCGAAAGCCUGACGGAGCAACGCCGCGUGAGUGAUGAAGGUCUUCGGAUCGUAAAACUCUGUUAUUAGGGAAGAACAUAUGUGUAAGUAACUGUGCACAUCUUGACGGUACCUAAUCAGAAAGCCACGGCUAACUACG